This 253-nucleotide ribosomal RNA is filed under the name uncultured bacterium. RNAcentral's name for it is "partial 16S ribosomal RNA". It matches the Rfam family "Bacterial small subunit ribosomal RNA", at positions 524 to 776 of the family's 1533-position model. The record is from RNAcentral.
UACGUAGGGUGCAAGCGUUGUCCGGAAUUAUUGGGCGUAAAGAGCUCGUAGGCGGUCUGUCGCGUCGGCUGUGAAAACCCGGAGCUCAACUCCGGGCCUGCAGUCGAUACGGGCAGACUGGAGUUCGGCAGGGGAGACUGGAAUUCCUGGUGUAGCGGUGAAAUUCGUAGAUAUCAGGAGGAACACCAGUGGCGAAGGCGGCUUUCUGGACGAUUACUGACGCUGAGACGCGAAAGCGUGGGGAGCAAACAGG